GGGAGGGCCUUUCACCAAGGCCCGCGCCCCGCGUGCCCGCACGGAACCUCGCCUACCUCAGGUACUUCACCGCUGAACUCGCCAUGACUUCUGGGUCCCUGAGGUCACCCGAGAUCAGCCGCUGCGGCCCCCACCAGAUGAGAAAACUGAGGCUCAAAGAUGUUGAAUGACAUGUCUAAUGAUACAGUGAUAGCUGUCGGUGGAGCCAGGAUCAGAGCACCUUGACCUAGAGUCUGCAGUCUUAAGCCUUAUCCUAUGCUGAAAUGCCUCUCCAAAUGCAGAACUGUGUAAUUAAAAGGUUGUCAACUGCUGGCUUCAUUCUGAUGAGAUUUGGUGAACCUGCACCCUAAUCAAGACAUCUUGAAGGCCCAACAAGAUAAGAAGCUCCACUUAGAUAAGGAAGAUUAACAGCUGCGUCAUCUGCACCUAGUUCUGUGCCUGGAACAUAGUAGGUCCUCUACAAAUAUUUUAAUGAAUCCUCAAAAUGUCAUUGUGAAGUAAUUCACAGUACAGUAGAAGUUCUCUUAUCUGACAUGAUCAGGAGUGAACUAUUUUAUUUCAACUUAAAACAAAAAAUACAUUCAUUUGCUAUCUGUCAAAGUGUGACCAGGGUCCCGUCUUUUUUUGUUUGUUUGUUUUAUGUACACAUAUAUUUCUUUCACAUUCUUUUUGUUAAAAGUUAUUAUAAGAUAUUGAAUAUAGUUCCCUGUGCUAUACAGUAGAAAUCUGAAUUUUAAAUGUUUUUAUACAUAGUGGUUAACAUUUGCAAAUCUCAAACACCCAAAUUUAUCCUUUCCCACCCUUUUGCUGAUAACCAUAACCAUACUGUAUCUGCAAGUCUGUUUCUGUUUUAUAGAUGAGUUCAUUAGUGUCCUCUUUUUUCUUUACUUUUUCUUUCUUUUCUUUUUUUUUUUAAGAUUCCAUAUAUGAGUGAAAUCAUAUGGUAUUUUUCUUUCUCUUUCUGGCUUACAUCACUUAGAAUGACAAUCUCCAGGUCCAUUCAUGUUGCUGCAAAUGGCAUUGUUUUGUUCUUUUGUUCUUUUUUUUUUUUUAAUCACUGAGUAGUAUUCCACUGUAUGUAUACGCACCAUGACUUCUUUAUCCAGUCAUCUGUCAGUGGACAUUUAGGUUCCUUCCAUGUCUUGGCUAUUGUAAAUAGUGCUGCUGUGAACAUUGGGGUGUAUGUAUCUUUUUGAACUGGAGUUUUCUCCAGAUAUAUGCCCAGGAGUGGGGUUGCUGGAUCAUAUGGUAAGUCUAUUCUUAGUCUUUUGAGAAAUCUCCAUACUGUUUUCCAUAAUGGCUGCACCAGACUACAUUCCCACCAGCAGUGUUAGGAGGGUUCCCUUUUCUCCACACCCUCUCCAGCAUUUAUCUUUUGUGGACUUUUUAACGAUGGCCAUUCUGACAGACUAGGUUUUUUAUUUUGAUGACUUCCAGUGUCUCCAUUUCUUCUUAUGGAUCACACUUCUGGUGUCAAGUUUUAAAAUCUCUGUGCCUGACCCUAGAUCACCAAUUUUUCUCUAAGAAUUUUUCCCCCUGGAAUAUGUUCUAAUGCUACAUUUUACAUUGAAGUGUGUGAUCCAUUUCAAAUUCAUGUUUAUAUGACAUAUAAGGUUUAAGUGUUUAGGCUAAAUGUUGUUUGUUUGUUUUCUUAUUUUCGUGUUUUGCUGUGGAUGUCAGUUUGCCCUACUCCCAUUUCAUAAAGAAACCGUCUUUCCUCUAGUGAAUUGCUUUUGCACUUUUGCCAAAAAUCAGUUGGGCUUGGGCAAAUUUGUUUGAAUCUCUGCUGUGUUUCAUUGAACAACGUGUCUAACAUCACACAGUCUCUAUCAGCUCUAUAAAUAAGCAUUAGAUUAGGGGCAACAUUUCUUUUGGUUGUUGGAAUUGUAGUAGCAAUUCUAAUUCCUUUGCCUGUCCACGUAUCUUUUUAAGGACAAAUACAUGUACUUUCAUAUAUGUGUAUAUCAAAGUUAAGUUUUGCACCUUUUAAAAAAAAUUCAUGUAAGAGUUCACCAUCAACAUUUACCGCAUUUCAGGCACAAUUACACACGCACUCUCUCAUACUGUUGCAUUUUACAGAUGCGCUGGAAGUUUAUUUAGUGAAUGGCUAUUAGUCACCCCCAAUUUUUUAUUAUAGGUAAGUAAUGCUGAAAUGAAUAUUCUUAUCAUUCCAUGUGCAUUGGCACCAAUGUUCCCCACGCCCAUUUUUUUGUCUUUGAACUUUGUUGUGUUCUAAGCAGAAACGGAUUUUGUUUAAACUUU
Camelus dromedarius (Arabian camel) is the source of this 2262-nucleotide long non-coding RNA. RefSeq lists it as uncharacterized. The transcript is spliced from 3 exons. NCBI's taxonomy places the organism in Eukaryota, Metazoa, Chordata, Mammalia, Artiodactyla, Camelidae. The record is from RefSeq and is a predicted model, not a curated record.